UACGGAGGGGGCUAGCGUUGUUCGGAAUUACUGGGCGUAAAGCGCGCGUAGGCGGCUUUGUAAGUUAGGGGUGAAAUCCCGGGGCUCAACCCCGGAACUGCCUUUAAUACUGGGUAUCUCGAGUUCGAGAGAGGUGAGUGGAAUUCCGAGUGUAGAGGUGAAAUUCGUAGAUAUUCGGAGGAACACCAGUGGCGAAGGCGGCUCACUGGCUCGAUACUGACGCUGAGGUGCGAAAGCGUGGGGAGCAAACAGG
This 253-nucleotide ribosomal RNA is filed under the name uncultured bacterium. RNAcentral's name for it is "partial 16S ribosomal RNA". It matches the Rfam family "Bacterial small subunit ribosomal RNA", at positions 524 to 776 of the family's 1533-position model. The record is from RNAcentral.